GGGGAAUUUUGCGCAAUGGGGGCAACCCUGACGCAGCGACGCCGCGUGGGUGAUGAAGGCUUUCGGGUCGUAAAGCCCUGUCUGGGGGGAAGAUAGUGACGGUACCCCCGGAGGAAGCCCCGGCUAACUACGUGCCAGCAGCCGCGGUAACACGUGGGGGGCGAGCGUUGUCCGGAAUUAUUGGGCGUAAAGAGCGCGUAGGCGGUCUUUCAAGUCAGCUGUGAAAUCCCCCGGCUCAACCGGGGAGUUGCAGUUGAAACUGGGAGGCUUGAGUGCAGAAGAGGAGGGUAGAAUUCCUGGUGUAGCGGUGAAAUGCGUAGAUAUCAGGAGGAAUACCGGUGGCGAAGGCGGCCUUCUGGUCUGCUACUGACGCUGAGGCGCGAAAGCUAGGGGAGCGAAC
RNAcentral lists this ribosomal RNA (400 nucleotides) under uncultured bacterium. RNAcentral describes it as "bacterial SSU rRNA". It matches the Rfam family "Bacterial small subunit ribosomal RNA", at positions 356 to 773 of the family's 1533-position model. The record is from RNAcentral.